UACGUAGGUGGCAAGCGUUGUCCGGAUUUAUUGGGUUUAAAGGGUGCGUAGGUGGCCUGUUAAGUCAGUGCUGAAAUAUCCCGGCUUAACCGGGAGGGUGGCAUUGAUACUGAUGGGCUUGAGUGAAGUCGAGGUAGGCGGAAUUGACGGUGUAGCGGUGAAAUGCUUAGAUAUCGUCAAGAACACCGAUAGUGUAGACAGCUUACUAGACUUUAACUGACACUGAGGCACGAAAGUGUGGGGAUCAAACAGG
Molecule: unclassified non-coding RNA, 253 nt
Filed under: uncultured Cytophagales bacterium
Lineage: Bacteria; Pseudomonadati; Bacteroidota; Sphingobacteriia; Sphingobacteriales
Description: contains 16S-23S intergenic spacer region
Rfam family: Bacterial small subunit ribosomal RNA
Source: RNAcentral